Non-coding RNA from Ictidomys tridecemlineatus (thirteen-lined ground squirrel), 1365 nucleotides. Lineage: Eukaryota; Metazoa; Chordata; Mammalia; Rodentia; Sciuridae. The record is from RefSeq and is a predicted model, not a curated record.
UGUCCAAUCAAAAUCAGUAUUCAGGAUUCUAUGUCUAGGAGAGGAGGACAUGAUAAGGAUACUCAGCCUAACGUCAUAGAAGUAAUAGCAACCUCUUCAAAGUGGAAAAUUCUAGACUAAGCGCAAGUUUUCCUUCUCUUGAGGGAGGACUAACUUGGGUGAUCCACCAUUCAGAAAACUGUUAAGAGACUGGCAAAGGUGAAAUGUUGGCAGGAGGAAAGGUCCUAGAGACAACUUCAGUCAUUCCUCACAAAUCAAGCUUCCUGGUCACACAUCAUAGUUGUGUAGACUCUUAGCACUGGGCAAAGUAUUUCAGAAGAUGCUCAGAUUUGACCAAGAUUUGACCAGAAUGACUCUUCUCCUUCAGCAUUUUGGCACAAGUGAAAAAACAAAUGUGUUCCUCUAGCAAAGGUGUUUAUGGUUGGAACCUGGAUCCUGUUUUGAACUGACAGUCAUCUCUGAGGAACCUCUAGGGUCCUAGGAACCCACCUGUAUAUGCUAUUGCCUGAUGCUCUUAUGCUACUUGUUAAGGUUUGAAGAAUGUUAAGGUUGAAGAAUUCAUAAGAAUGCCCUCUGCAAAACUCACUUUGGAAUCUAAAUCCCAGAGCAUAUUAAGAGGUGGGGCCUUUAGGAGGUAAUUAAGCCAUGAGGGUGGAGCCUUCAUGAAUGCAGGAGGGACUGUCUGGGCCUCUUUCUGCCUUUCCAUCCCCUCUGCCAUGUGAGGACACAGGGUUUGUUCCAUCUGGAGGAUGCACCAUCUUGGGAACAAAGAGCAGCCCUAGCCAGACACCAAACCUGCUGGUACCUUAAUCUUGGGUCCCAGAACUUCUGUUCUCCAAAAAUUAUGCAGCCUCAGGUAUUUUGUUAAAGCAGCACAAGUGGACUAAGAUAUUAUCUAAUACUUUGGUAGGGAUUGGAGCUGAAAUCCGAGCUCAGGUUGGAUGGAUCCCCUGCCCUUGCCAUUCCCAACAGGGUCUUCUUAUUAAGUUUUCUGUGCCUGCUUCACAGAGAGCUUCCUGACUUCACACUCUGCAGAAACAGCCGAGCUCGGGUCCCAGCCCCAGCACCCUUUCUUGUGUUGGCUGUCUUUAUUUCCAUUGCAUCACUAAACACCACCAGAAACUCUCUUCUUUAUUUUUUACUUAUUUAUCAUCAACCUUCAACUUCUAGAAACUUGAAGAAAACAAGGACUAUAUAUCUGUCUUGUUCAGUGCUGCUGUUUGCAUGACAUGUCAGGUCCUCUGAUGAUUUCUCAAGGUACAGUUGGUCCUUCAUAUUUAUAGACUCCACAUCACAUCCAUGGAAUCAACUUAACCCAGAUCAAACAAUUCAGAAAAAAUAAAUGCACUUAUACUAGCCUGUACA